RNAcentral lists this ribosomal RNA (249 nucleotides) under Triticum aestivum (bread wheat). RNAcentral describes it as "partial small subunit ribosomal RNA". The record is from RNAcentral. Lineage: Eukaryota; Viridiplantae; Streptophyta; Magnoliopsida; Poales; Poaceae.
AUUACGAACGCCGGGCUGCGCGCCUACCGGGAGGUGCUGCGGCUGGUGCGCCGGCUGCCUGCCGACGCGCGGCCCUACUACGCGAAGUACGCCCGCGAGAACUUCGUCAACUACCGCCACCUUUCCGCCGACGACGACCUCGCCGACCUCCUCCGCCGCGCGCAUGCCCACUCCGCCUGGGUCCUCUCCAAGUACUCCAUCGACGCCGCGGAGGCGGCAGGGCGGCUCAAGGAGAUCUGCGGCGAGUGA